UGGUGGCGUACACCUGUAGUCCCAGCUAUUCAAGAGGCUGAGGACUCACCCAUUUUUUGUUAAAGAAUAACUAGAUAAUCUAGCCUCUGAGGGGGUGACAGCUGGACUCAACUGAUGAGAAGAAGUGAACCAAGCAAAGACUUGAGGGAAGUCAACUCCAGGCACAGCAAAGGAUGAGUGCAAAGGCUAUGAGCUUGAUGCAAAAGACCACAGUGACCUUAGCAGAUGUGUGAAGACAGCAGAGCCACAAGACUGAAAGAACCGCGAUUACUGAAUCACAUCAUGAAAACCCACCCUCUGACAGAAACAACUGGUUUGUGAUGGACAUCUGUUUGCCUUAUCUCACAUAGGGGAGGAGGGGAAGAAUUUAAUCUUGGAUUAGCCCUUUGUGGUUUUGCAUACCCCCUUCUCUGAUCCUCCUUAGAGGUGAAUAAAGUAGUGGAAUGGUCCCCAUUUUACAGCUGUGUUAGGCAAAGUUCAGAGAAGUUAAUGGCUAGGGAGGGGGAGCACAGGCCACAGUCUAGCCAAAGCCAGCCUCAAAUAUAGAUCUCCUGAUUCCCAGAGCCUAUUACUUCUUCCACUGUGCUAUACCCUGAAUGCUGAAGAUUCCUCCUUAAACUGAACAUGUCAGCAGCUAAUCUUUGAGCUAUUAAAUAAAUUACAAAAAGAUGAUAUAAAAGGCAAUCCUUCCUUGAGACAACUGUACCAUCCCAUUUAUCUCUUCAUGCCCAGGACUUGGGCAAGAACUUGGUACCGAGAAGGGCCUUCAUAACUGUAUGUUAUGAUUUUUAAAAAAAGUCUUACCAAGAAACAAAAAUUCAAGUUUAUAUCACAUUGACAACUAAAGACCAGCAAAACAGAUGUCGUGUACUGCUUCCACAUGUAGACCAACCAGAAUAAGACUCCAAUUCCAUCAAAUGUAAUUUAUUUAAAUAACAAUUCAAUUGCAUGUUAAGUAAACCAGUUGUAGCAAUAUAA
This 978-nucleotide long non-coding RNA is filed under the name Homo sapiens (human). RNAcentral's name for it is "HSALNT0351243". Lineage: Eukaryota; Metazoa; Chordata; Mammalia; Primates; Hominidae. The record is from RNAcentral.